GUAUUAAGGUAAAUGUAGAUUUUUGAGUGGUCAGAAGAGUGUUGAACUACUUUUCGGCAUCUCAAGCAGUACCUCGAAUCCUCUUCACUUCUCUCCAAGCUAAAAGAAAGUGAGCAGUUAUUUUUGUACUUAGCUAUCUCACUCGAUGCUAUUAGCUUGAUCUUGGUCCAAGAAUAUACAGGGACCCAAAAGUCGAUUUACUG
This 203-nucleotide long non-coding RNA is filed under the name Elaeis guineensis (African oil palm). Its description in RNAcentral is "long non-coding RNA (EGUI_LNC035341)". Lineage: Eukaryota; Viridiplantae; Streptophyta; Magnoliopsida; Arecales; Arecaceae. The record is from RNAcentral.